GACGAACGCUGGCGGCGUGCUUAACACAUGCAAGUCGAACGGAAAGGCCCUGCUUUUGUGGGGUGCUCGAGUGGCGAACGGGUGAGUAACACGUGAGUAACCUGCCCUUGACUUUGGGAUAACUUCAGGAAACUGGGGCUAAUACCGGAUAGGAGCUCCUGCUGCAUGGUGGGGGUUGGAAAGUUUCGGCGGUUGGGGAUGGACUCGCGGCUUAUCAGCUUGUUGGUGGGGUAGUGGCUUACCAAGGCUUUGACGGGUAGCCGGCCUGAGAGGGUGACCGGCCACAUUGGGACUGAGAUACGGACCAGACGCCUACGGGAGGCAGCAGUGGGGAAUAUUGCACAAUGGGCGGAAGCCUGAGGCAGCAACGCCGCGUGCGGGAUGACGGCCUUCGGGUUGUAAACCGCUUUCGCCUGUGACGAAGCGUGAGUGACGGUAAUGGGUAAAGAAGCACCGGCUAACUACGUG
RNAcentral lists this ribosomal RNA (468 nucleotides) under uncultured bacterium. RNAcentral describes it as "partial 16S ribosomal RNA". It matches the Rfam family "Bacterial small subunit ribosomal RNA", at positions 28 to 507 of the family's 1533-position model. The record is from RNAcentral.